UACGGGGGGAGCUAACGUUGUUCGGAUUUACUGGGCGUAAAGGGGGCGUAGGCGGCCUGACAAGUGGGGAGUGAAACCCUUCGGCUCAACCGAAGACCUGCUUUCCAAACUGUCGGGCUCGAGUCCGGGAGGGGAGACGGGAAUUCCUGGUGUAGCGGUGAAAUGCGCAGAUAUCAGGAGGAACACCGGCGGCGAAGGCGCGUCUCUGGACCGGUACUGACGCUGAAUCCCGAAAGCGUGGGGAGCAAACAGG
RNAcentral lists this ribosomal RNA (253 nucleotides) under uncultured prokaryote. RNAcentral describes it as "partial 16S ribosomal RNA". It matches the Rfam family "Bacterial small subunit ribosomal RNA", at positions 524 to 776 of the family's 1533-position model. The record is from RNAcentral.